Molecule: long non-coding RNA, 846 nt
Organism: Hypanus sabinus (Atlantic stingray)
Lineage: Eukaryota; Metazoa; Chordata; Chondrichthyes; Myliobatiformes; Dasyatidae
Exons: 3
Source: RefSeq, a predicted model, not a curated record
GAACAAUGCGCAGGAUGGAGACUCCACUUACACGGGUCUUAUCCUGGAGUAUCGAUCUGUUUACGAUGAUCUGAACAGCUGACGUCACUGUGAACGGAAGCCGAUGAUUGGAUCGUGAAUUGGCACAGAGAAAAGACAACCAUCCAGGAUAAAUCCACCGUUCAAAAUGGCUUUUUUUUUCUUUGUAAUCGUUCUCGAGGUCUCAACUAAACCUCUUCCGCGUUUCCUAGCCUCACGACAAAGACAUCACAGAAGAUUCUGUCUCGUUUCCGUCGCAGCAGCUUAGUUCUCUCGCAUCAACCCAGACUGGUGCUGUGGAGUGUCAGGGGAUUCCCAUAAAAUGACCGCUGUUCGAAUCCCUAUCCCGGCCGUACUCUAUUCUCAACACGUGGUCAGUUGUGUUUGAGCUGCAAUGUCUGAUCUAUAUAGCAAAAUUACCCUACCGCAUAGCCCUCUAUGGUUCUGAGCUCAAUGUGCCAAUCUCACAGUCUCUGGAAAGUCCCACUGUAUCGGCCUUCGCUCGCCACGCACCCAUCACUCUCUGUGUGAAAAACGUACCCCUGGCAUCUCCUUGUACCUACUUCCGAGCACAAUAAACCUGUGCCCAUCGUGUUCGCCAUUUCAGCCCUGGAGAAAAGCCUCUUGCUCUUGCACGAUCAAUGCCUCUGAUUAUCUUAUACGCAUCAAUCAGGUCACCGCCCAUCCUCCGUCGCUCCAAGGAUGAAACGCAAAUUCCGGCUGAACCUGUUCCCAUAAGGUAUGUUCCCCAAUCCAGGCAACAUCCUUGUAAAUCUCUUCUGUUAAUCGGGUUUGUCAUCGGUCGCUGAAAGGCCCGAAGUGACUACU